AAGCCAUGCUAGUCGAAUGGGACGCCUAAUUGUCCCAUGGCAAACUGCUCAGUAACACGUGAUCAACUUACCCUAUGGUGGGGAAUAACCUCGGGAAACUGAGGAUAAUGCCCCAUAAUUGAAAAUGCCUGGAACGGUUUUUCAAUGAAAGAUUCGUCUAAAUGGAGACGUUUUCACCAUAGGAUAGGAUCGCGCCCGAUUAUUGGCUGUUGGUGAGGUAAAGGCUCACCAAACCUAUUAUCGGUAAGGGCCGUGAGAGCGGGAGCCCUGAGAUGGGUACUGAGACAACGACCCAGGUCUUACGAGACGCAGCAGGCGCGAAACCUUCACAAUGCACGAAAGUGUGAUGAGGUUACCCGGAGUGCCAAAUAUGGCUGUGGUAGGUGAUUAAGGAUCCCUACUAGGAAGGAGAGGGCAAGGCUGGUGCCAGCCGCCGCGGUAAAACCAGCUCUUCAAGUGGUCGGGAUGAUUGUUGGGCUUAAAGUGUCCGUAGCCUGUUUAGUAAGUUCCUGGUUAAAUUGGAUAGCUUAACUAUCUAUUCGCUAGGAAUACUACUAUACUAGGGGGCGGGAGAGGUCUGAGGUACUCCAGGGGUAGCGGUGAAAUGCUAUAAUCCUUGGGGGACCACCAGUGGCGAAGGCGUCAGACUGGAACGCGCCCGACGGUGAGGGACGAAAGCCAGGGGAGCGAACCGGAUUAGAUACCCGGGUAGUCCUGGCCGUAACCGAUGCGUGCUAGGUGUUGGUAUGGCUUUGAGCCGUAUCAGUGCCGUAGGGAAACCGUUAAGCGCGCCGCCUGGGGAGUACGAUCGCAAGAUUGAAACUUAAAGGAAUUGGCGGGGGAGCACCACAAGGGGUGAAGCCUGCGGUUCAAUUGGACUCAACGCCGGGAACCUUACCGGGGGCGCCAGCAGUAUGAAGGUCAGGCUGACGACCUUACCA
Molecule: ribosomal RNA, 941 nt
Filed under: uncultured archaeon
Lineage: Archaea
Description: bacterial SSU rRNA
Rfam family: Archaeal small subunit ribosomal RNA
Source: RNAcentral